GAUGAACGCUGGCGGCGUGCCUAAUACAUGCAAGUCGAGCGAACAGAUAAGGAGCUUGCUCCUUUGACGUUAGCGGCGGACGGGUGAGUAACACGUGGGUAACCUACCUAUAAGACUGGGUUAACUUCGGGAAACCGGAGCUAAUACCGGAUAAUAUUUCGAACCGCAUGGUUCGAUAGUGAAAGAUGGUUUUGCUAUCACUUAUAGAUGGACCCGCGCCGUAUUAGCUAGUUGGUAAGGUAACGGCUUACCAAGGCGACGAUGCGUAGCCGACCUGAGAGGGUGAUCGGCCACACUGGAACUGAGACACGGUCCAGACUCCUACGGGAGGCAGCAGUAGGGAAUCUUCCGCAAUGGGCGAAAGCCUGACGGAGCAACGCCGCGUGAGUGAUGAAGGUCUUCGGAUCGUAAAACUCUGUUAUUAGGGAAGAACAUACGUGUAAGUAACUGUGCACGUCUUGACGGUACCUAAUCAGAAAGCCACGGCUAACUACGUG
This 497-nucleotide ribosomal RNA is filed under the name uncultured bacterium. RNAcentral describes it as "partial 16S ribosomal RNA". It matches the Rfam family "Bacterial small subunit ribosomal RNA", at positions 28 to 507 of the family's 1533-position model. The record is from RNAcentral.